This 399-nucleotide ribosomal RNA is filed under the name uncultured bacterium. Its description in RNAcentral is "partial 16S ribosomal RNA". It matches the Rfam family "Bacterial small subunit ribosomal RNA", at positions 360 to 773 of the family's 1533-position model. The record is from RNAcentral.
AAUCUUCCGCAAUGGGCGCAAGCCUGACGCAGCGACGCCGCGUGAGCGAUGAAGGUCUUCGGAUCGUAAAGCUCUGUCCUCAGGGAAGAAGACGAUGACGGUACCUGAGGAGGAAGCCCCGGCUAACUACGUGCCAGCAGCCGCGGUAAUACGUAGGGGGCAAGCGUUGUCCGGAAUUAUUGGGUGUAAAGGGUGCGUAGGCGGCUUAUUAAGUCUGAUGUGAAAUACCACGGCUUACCCGUGGGGUUGCAUUGGAAACUGGUGAGCUUGAGUAUCGGAGAGGAUAGUGGAAUUCCUAGUGUAGCGGUGAAAUGCGUAGAUAUUAGGAGGAACACCAGUGGCGAAGGCGACUGUCUGGACGAUAACUGACGCUGAGGCACGAAAGCUAGGGUAGCGAAC